UAACUUUUUGUCCAAAACGAUUUUUGAAGGACAGGCUCAUAACAGAAACUGCCGCUCCGGUGUCAACUAAAGCAAAAGCACUCACAUUGUCAACUAAAACACACUUUGUUUUUAAACAAUUUUACACAAGGGGGUCUUGAUGAAGAUGAACAUAUUGCAGCCUCACCCCCGUCGGUCGCACCAGCUAGUUUCCCAGCGCAGCGGUGACAACGAGCAACAACGAGGUGAUGGAGAGCGUCGUUGUCGUGUUGGUGGUGGUGUGAUGCUGCAAUCGGAAACGGGGGAGUCACUGCGGUUCGCGCGUCCCUGCUGCAGCCGCUGGAAGAAACUAGGAUAUGGCCAGGGCUCGUCAGCGGGCACACUCGGCAUCCUACAAAUACCUCGGAGUUCACCACUCGCCAUCCCUAUCAUGGGCGUUGCACAUACAAACCAUCUGCUCAGAUGCUACGCGGGCUGUUAGAUACGGGACCGUUUCCUGAGCCUGCUUCGAGUUCCCCAGACCACAUCGAAUCGCACCACAGCUAAUUAAGGAGCGCAGAAGCACGGAUACAACAUUCCUGAGGCACGGCACGUGCAAACAAGUUGGCGGACCCCGCUUCGUGUGCCACCGGUGGAGCUAUUCACUGCUUGACUCUUCCCGAAAGUGAAGCGAGAGCCUGGCACUGUUGCAGGUAAAGUGGGUCCCGAAGCAAGACGGCUGUAAUGCGCCGUGAAAACCUGGCGGCGUCGCCCCCAUUUAUCUAUGGUGACGGCACAUUGCAAGUCAGCAAGGCAAGACCGCAGGGAGAAGAAAGCCCUCGGAUAAACACACGAGCAGCGACUCUUCACCGGGUGUGACUCCAUCGCACGGGCGCCUACCAUUGGCCGAAAAUGACGACACCUGAGCGGGCUCGCCGAUUGGUCGAAAAUGGCGUCACCUGAGCGGGCUCUCCCAUUGGCUGAACCUGACGUGUCUUCGAGACACCGAAGGGCUUAAAAGAUGCAGACCGGGAGCAGCAGAAGAGAUUCCUAGAGCAUUCCUUGAUUCAUCUCUUUCGAGCUUCUUGCCACGGGCCGCAGCGUCCAAGUUUUUGCCGGCUCGUAAUGACUCUACGACUGUUAAUUGACUCUCACUGUAAAUAAUGUAAAUAAAACCUCCCAAGUUUUUCAUCC
Dermacentor andersoni is the source of this 1152-nucleotide non-coding RNA. Lineage: Eukaryota; Metazoa; Arthropoda; Arachnida; Ixodida; Ixodidae. The record is from RefSeq and is a predicted model, not a curated record.